ACUUUAUUCCAAUAAUACUUUAACUUUAUUCUUGUAAUUUCAGAUAUUGUUCUUUAUUGAUCUGGCCCUAGUACUCCGGCGUAAAAUUAAAAUAAUCGCUAAUAUUUUUUUUUUCUUUUUUAAAUACCUGUUCGUUUCUGAAAAGAAAAUCUAAUGAUCAAUAGAUAAAAAACAUUGACUCAGCUUCCGCCGUGUUAUUUUUGCACACUUUACUACAAGGUCACGUAGAUGUGAGCGGAAGGGUCACGUGCACAUUUGGAAAUUACCUGACCGCUCGUUACCUCCCACGCGCAACGCAGCAGUGGUCGAAGUGUCGGGCUCGUGGAUGUUGAAUUGAGGAGCACGCGAUGCGGCGCUAGCUGGAGGCUAAUUCGGAAGCUAGCGUGUGCGUCGAGUGUCACCCUGAGGCCUAGCUCUUCAGGUUCUACAGCGCCCCUCAGUCCACAGACGGUCACACACUGACACCUGGUGGAGAGUUUGUGAAACUGCAGUUGAGUAUUGUGAAUAAAACGUAAGGAGCAGACUAGAAGAAGAGGGCUUCAGUGAUUCUUGUUCUGAUACUGUGUCAUUGUCAUGUAUGUGUAGACUCGCUGGGAAUGUUAUUCUUAUGUGAAUGCAGGAGGGAGAGCCGGGGCUUAGACAACAGGAUUGGUGGGCUGCAGGCGGGAGAACAAAAGACUAAGAUAAGGCUCUUUGCAUAAACUCCCAUCAGCCCUGUGAGCUCUGGAGACUGUAAACAAAGCAAUAAAGUCCUAAAACCGGGUCCAAUCGAGUCACCUUGGUCCAGAGUAGGUAUAGGGAUCUUAAUGCGUUACCCGGAAGUCUGUAAAUUGUAGUUUUUUGUAGAGCGAAAGUCAACAUAGAACGACUUUAUUCUCUUAGAAACGUAAGUUUCGUAUUCACCAUGACAGUGUGCACUUCCGGUGCAGACCCGGAUAUAUACUGAGCCGAACCUUGUGAUUGUCGUGUUACUUCGGUAACACAUAUACUAAAAUUGGAACGAUACAGAGAAGAUUAGCAUGGCCCCUGCGCAAGGAUGACACGCAAAUUCGUGAAGCGUUCCUCAUUUUUCAUUCAAAUAUUAAUUAUUCUCCACUGACUCUAAUGGAACAGCGCCCCCACCGCCGGCGGCGCUGCCGGGAACUGCAGCGGCAGGAGUAGCUGUCUGUUACAAACUGCAUCUGAAGUCAUUAUAUGACUAAACCGACCUGCUCUUAAAAAUCAACGACUGUUAAUAAAAACUACACGUCACACAGACAAAGGAACGACCUGCUGUUCAGUCCUGACCCGUCCUCUCCUGUUUCAGUGAUGAUCAGCUGUUCCUUCUCUGUGUGAAGGAUCACAGCGCCACCUACCGGAGGAACUACAUGUGACACUCUGAAGUAAAAUGUCACAACACACCUCAAAUCUGAAAGUGACUUCCGGUGAGGUGCUUCUAAAUAAAAGCCCCAGUGUGUUGAUGGAGAACAAUAGAACAGAUAACAUUAUUGAUAACACCAUUAACAUCUCUGGGAAUUUCUAUUAUUAUUUCCACUAUAUCAAACAGUCUGAGCUUAAAUACAACAGUAAACAGAUGCUCCGGGUCUCUCCCUCCCCAGAAGGUCAGCGGUUCGAUACCCGGUUGUUACAAAACUGAAGAAAAGCUUCAGGGGUUGUUGCACAGUGUAACUAAGGUCUUUGUAAAUAAUGUGGCUGCCUGAUAAACACAGAACAGUGAUGUAUUAUCUCCCAGACGGUGACAGAGGAAAAACCAAGAUUAAGUGUCUGAGUGAAGUUGUUGUUAAACUGGACUGAGAUCAUGUGACUGAAGGCACCAGCUGAUUCUGACUGAGUUCUGUCAUUAACAUGAAUAAUUACUGACUUUUUAAUGUUUUGGCCUUUGAACCCUGACACCAUGACUGUCAUGAGCCAUCCAUGUUAUCUUGUUAGUGUUUCAGUUGCAUGUUGUCCUCAUGUUUACAUGUUACAUAAUGUAAAUAAAUCAUAAAUAAUAAAUCUUUCA
Molecule: long non-coding RNA, 2002 nt
Organism: Seriola aureovittata
Lineage: Eukaryota; Metazoa; Chordata; Actinopteri; Carangiformes; Carangidae
Exons: 4
Source: RefSeq, a predicted model, not a curated record